Molecule: ribosomal RNA, 478 nt
Filed under: uncultured bacterium
Lineage: Bacteria
Description: partial 16S ribosomal RNA
Rfam family: Bacterial small subunit ribosomal RNA
Source: RNAcentral
GAUGAACGCUGGCGGCGUGCUUAACACAUGCAAGUCGAACGAGAAGUGGAGACGGAAACCUUCGGGCGGAAGACUUUACUUCGAGUGGCGGACGGGUGAGUAACGCGUGGGUAACCUGCCUCAUACAGGGGGAUAACAGUUGGAAACGACUGUUAAUACCGCAUAAGACCACAGCACCGCAUGGUGCGGGGGUAAAAACUCCGGUGGUAUGAGAUGGACCCGCGUUCGAUUAGCCAGUUGGCGGGGUAACGGCCCACCAAAGCGACGAUCGAUAGCCGAUCUGAGAGGAUGACCGGCCACAUUGGGACUGAGACACGGCCCAAACUCCUACGGGAGGCAGCAGUGGGGAAUAUUGCACAAUGGGGGAAACUCUGAUGCAGCGACGCCGCGUGAGUGAAGAAGUAUUUCGGUAUGUAAAGCUCUAUCAGCAGGGAAGAAAAUGACAGUACCUGAGUAAGAAGCCCCGGCUAACUACGUG